GGGGGCGUACUGGCUUCGACUUGAAGUUUGAAGCGCAGACGGCAUGUCGAGGAUGGUUCGUUGGCCUCGUAAAAAACCGAGCCAAAACAAUAAACGCAGAUCACGAAGAUCUCGCUCUCGCGGCUUAAUUGACCGUGACGUUUCCGGCGUGACGCCUGCUGGCGCCGGAGACGUGGACAGCAGGCUGGCCGGCGGCGGAGCGACCGCGCUUAGCCGGUGAAUCGAUUUCGCGGACGCUCGGGGGCCGGCAGUGUGCCGGUGCAACGUUUGGCUCCUUAAAACCAAUCACCGGAUAAACAUGUAGAUGUUUGCGUGGACCGCUUCGAGGACAGGGGUUCAACUCCCCUCGCCUCCAUUU
This 358-nucleotide transfer-messenger RNA is filed under the name Chthoniobacterales. RNAcentral describes it as "AV69 sp003217965 Standard tmRNA". It matches the Rfam family "transfer-messenger RNA". Rfam says of the family: Bacterial tmRNA, also known as 10Sa RNA or SsrA, is named for its dual tRNA and mRNA-like properties. Its role is to liberate the mRNA from a stalled ribosome. To accomplish this part of the tmRNA is used as a reading frame that ends in a translation stop signal. The record is from RNAcentral. Lineage: Bacteria; Pseudomonadati; Verrucomicrobiota; Spartobacteria. RNAcentral also lists the same sequence under 1 other name.